This is a long non-coding RNA of Zea mays, 547 nucleotides long. RefSeq lists it as uncharacterized. Lineage: Eukaryota; Viridiplantae; Streptophyta; Magnoliopsida; Poales; Poaceae. The record is from RefSeq and is a predicted model, not a curated record. The transcript has 3 exons.
GGGACCCCACUGUAGUUCGUUCGUCCUCAAUGGCGCGCGAGCUUGGCGGAGCAAUUCCGAUCCACUCGCAAAAUGUUUCCCCCUGACCAGACUCUACCGCAGUAUAUAAAUCCCAACCAUGUCGUAUCCCUUCUCUCAUCUCACCAUCGCCAGAAACCGACGUGUUGUGGGCAAGAGGAAGCACGAUGGGGAGAGAAGGGGAGCCACCGCGGGCAAUUCUCGCCGGCGUUGGUCCUGCGCGGUGAAUCCGCCUCUUGUCACUGCUGGAGCUUGAAACCUUGUAAUCCGUGGUAACUGCUAAUACAAUUUUGACGAACACUAAAAGCAAUGCUCAGCUUUAACCAUCUCCUUUGGUCAAGAACAGGUACCACAAGAUGAGGCACGUGAAGGAUGUAGUGAUGAGUUCGUGAGUGGUCUUGGCCGUUGUCUCCCAUUCAACUAUGGUUGCUGGAUUGUUGUCUUCGUAUGAUGUAAUUAUUUAACUAUUUUGUAUAGAACUUCGUUAUAUAUUAAUGAUGUGACAUUUGUUUAUGUACCAUGUGUCAUC